This 71-nucleotide transfer RNA is filed under the name Marmota monax (woodchuck). Its description in RNAcentral is "tRNA.Gly". It matches the Rfam family "tRNA". From Rfam's summary of the family: Transfer RNA (tRNA) molecules are approximately 80 nucleotides in length. Their secondary structure includes four short double-helical elements and three loops (D, anti-codon, and T loops). Further hydrogen bonds mediate the characteristic L-shaped molecular structure. tRNAs have two regions of fundamental functional importance: the anti-codon, which is responsible for specific mRNA codon recognition, and the 3' end, to which the tRNAs corresponding amino acid is attached (by aminoacyl-tRNA synthetases). tRNAs cope with the degeneracy of the genetic code in two manners: having more than one tRNA (with a specific anti-codon) for a particular amino acid; and 'wobble' base-pairing, i.e. permitting non-standard base-pairing at the 3rd anti-codon position. The record is from RNAcentral. Lineage: Eukaryota; Metazoa; Chordata; Mammalia; Rodentia; Sciuridae.
GGGGUUGUGGCUCAGAGGUAGAGCACUUGCCUACCAUGCAUGAGACACUGAGUUUGAUCCUCAGCACCACA